This 501-nucleotide ribosomal RNA is filed under the name uncultured bacterium. RNAcentral describes it as "bacterial SSU rRNA". It matches the Rfam family "Bacterial small subunit ribosomal RNA", at positions 28 to 521 of the family's 1533-position model. The record is from RNAcentral.
GACGAACGCUGGCGGCGUGGAUUAGGCAUGCAAGUCGAACGGUAUCAUCCUUUCGGGGGUGAGAGAGUGGCGAACUGGUGAGUAACACGUAGGUUAUCUACCCUCAAGACGGGGACAACCCAGGGAAACUUGGGCUAAUACCGGAUGUGAGCAACUUUUAGUUGUUUGAAAGGUGGCGUAAGCUGUCGCUUGGGGAUGAGCCUGCGUCCUAUUAGUUAGUUGGUGAGGUAACGGCUCACCUAGGCAAUGAUAGGUAGGCGGCCUUAACGGGUGGUCGCCCACACUGGGAUUGAGAUACGGCCCAGACUCCUACGGGAGGCAGCAGUCGAGAAUAGUCUACAAUGGUCGGAAGACUGAUAGUGCGACGCCGCGUGAACGAUGAAUCCCUUCGGGGUGUAAAGUUCUUUUAUAUGUGAGCAGUGCUUCUUAUAUUAACAGUAUGGGGAAGAGAUAUUAGCAUAUGAAUAAGCAAACGGCUAAACUCCGUGCCAGCAGCCGGGU